GAUCAUGGCUCAGGAUGAACGCUAGCGACAGGCCUAACACAUGCAAGUCGAGGGGCAGCGGGGAGGUAGCAAUACCUUUGCCGGCGACCCGCGCACGGGUGAGUAACACGUAUGCAAUCCACCUGUAACAGGGGGAUAACCCGGAGAAAUCCGGACUAAUACCCCAUAAUAUGGGCUCUCCGCGUGGAGGGUUCAUUAAAGAGAGCAAUUUUGGUUACAGACGAGCAUGCGCUCCAUUAG
Molecule: ribosomal RNA, 240 nt
Filed under: uncultured bacterium
Lineage: Bacteria
Description: partial 16S ribosomal RNA
Rfam family: Bacterial small subunit ribosomal RNA
Source: RNAcentral